UACGUAGGGUGCAAGCGUUAAUCGGAAUUACUGGGCGUAAAGCGUGCGCAGGCGGCUUUGCAAGACAGAUGUGAAAUCCCCGGGCUUAACCUGGGAACUGCAUUUGUGACUGCAUGGCUAGAGUGCGGCAGAGGGGGAUGGAAUUCCGCGUGUAGCAGUGAAAUGCGUAGAUAUGCGGAGGAACACCGAUGGCGAAGGCAGUCCCCCGGGCCUGUACUGAC
Molecule: ribosomal RNA, 221 nt
Filed under: uncultured bacterium
Lineage: Bacteria
Description: partial 16S ribosomal RNA
Rfam family: Bacterial small subunit ribosomal RNA
Source: RNAcentral